Molecule: ribosomal RNA, 292 nt
Filed under: uncultured Anaerolineaceae bacterium
Lineage: Bacteria; Bacillati; Chloroflexota; Anaerolineae; Anaerolineales; Anaerolineaceae
Description: partial 16S ribosomal RNA
Rfam family: Bacterial small subunit ribosomal RNA
Source: RNAcentral
CGGUUAAGUCCGCUAACGAGCGCAACCCUCGCGUAUGUUAUACGUGUCAUACGAGACUGCCGGUAAAAAGCCGGAGGAAGGUGAGGAUGAUGUCAAGUCAGCAUGACCUUUAUAUCCCAGGGCUACACACACGCUACAAUGGUCUGUACAAUGGGUAGCCAAGCCGCGAGGCGGAGCCAAUCCUGAAAGCAGGCCUCAGUUCAGAUUGCAGUCUGCAACUCGACUGCAUGAAGCCGGAGUUGCUAGUAACCGCAGGUCAGCAAUACUGCGGUGAAUACGGUUCCCGGGUCUU